Molecule: small RNA, 133 nt
Filed under: Klebsiella variicola
Lineage: Bacteria; Pseudomonadati; Pseudomonadota; Gammaproteobacteria; Enterobacterales; Enterobacteriaceae
Description: RtT sRNA
Rfam family: RtT RNA
About the family: This family represents a bacterial cis-regulatory element known as RtT RNA.
Source: RNAcentral
UAUUCUGCCCUACGGGGAAGGAUGAGAAGCUUCGACUAAGGUUAGACUCGAGCGCCAGCGAGAGAACGUUGCCGCAGGCAAUGGCCCGAAGGGCGAGGAGCGAUAGCGACGAGUUAUCCUUCCCCCUCUAUUC